ACGAAGGUCCCAAGCGUUAUCCGGAUUUAUUGGGUUUAAAGGGUGCGUAGGCGGGCUAUUAAGUCAGUGGUGAAAUCUCCGAGCCUAACUCGGAAAUUGCCAUUGAUACUGAUGGUCUUGAGUACAUUUGAAGUGGGCGGAAUGUGUCAUGUAGCGGUGAAAUGCUUAGAUAUGACACAGAACACCGAUUGCGUAGGCAGCUCACUAAACUGUAACUGACGCUGAGGCACGAAAGCGUGGGGAGCAAACAGGA
This 253-nucleotide ribosomal RNA is filed under the name uncultured prokaryote. RNAcentral describes it as "partial 16S ribosomal RNA". It matches the Rfam family "Bacterial small subunit ribosomal RNA", at positions 525 to 777 of the family's 1533-position model. The record is from RNAcentral.